This is a long non-coding RNA of Paramormyrops kingsleyae, 1531 nucleotides long. RefSeq lists it as uncharacterized. NCBI's taxonomy places the organism in Eukaryota, Metazoa, Chordata, Actinopteri, Osteoglossiformes, Mormyridae. The record is from RefSeq and is a predicted model, not a curated record.
GUAUCAGAAUCUGUAUCAGUAUUGGCAGUUGUGUAUCAGAAUCGGAUUGAGACUGAAAAAAUGUGGAUCCGCCCAUCCCUACUAACGAUGUAUAUUUUUCUUCACAACUAACACUGUUGUACAUUUAUUACAUGUGACAAUGGUAACAUUGUCAUGCAUUCCAGAUAACUUGCUAUACCUGUUGCAUCAAAGCCAAGUCUGCCCCUAACAGUCUUCCCUUGGGGCACCUCAGGCCUGCCCACCAGCAUGUGUUUAAGCAAGUGAGCAGCUGAAAACUGUAUGCGCAUGUUCAACGCGCUUUCAAUAAUGCGCUGUGGGGCACGAUCAGAAUGGCUUGUGCCGAUAGCAGCCAAUAAAACGUAACACUAAUUGAUUUGACAUAGGUCAAGACGUUGUCAUUGUCCUUUUCAACCAACAGCUAGCUGUUAUGAUAGCCACCACCAGCAGUGGCAGUAGCAAUAAAAUGUAGUGACGGUCAAAUGAAGCUUCAUGAACCGUUUGCUGUAUUUUCAGAUACCACUAGAUGGCGCUGUUGGUUUGCUUUGGGGCAUGCAGUAAGUCCUUUAUUAAAGAUCAUAUUUAGCAGCUUGCUAUUGGAGCUUUGGUCUAUACAUCCAGCAUGUCACAUAUGCUAUAAUAUCUGAUACACCUGGCAGUAAAAAAUUGACAAAAAAAAUUGAUUGGUGAUUGACAAGUUUGCCCAGAUGAAAGAUCGUUGUGCAAGUUUUCCAGCAUUGAACGUCACUGGCUUUCUGUGCAAGAGACACCACUGAUGGAGAGAGAAGUUGAACAGAGCCCCCAACCGCGCGGCCACUGAGGGAACAGGGGAGUUACGAAUGACCCUCCUGCUAAAUACCACACAUCAAUGGCUGGCUGGGCUGCACUGGAAGGCCACACAGAAAAGAGAAAGGAGAGCUCUGCUAAUUACGCCUGGCACAUUCUCAUGCACUGCCAGCCUCCAAGCCUCUCUGCCAGCCUCCAAGCCCCACUGCCAGUCUCCAAGCCCCACUGCCAGCCUCCAAGCCUCUCUGCCAGCCUCCAAGCCUCUCUGCCAGCCUCCAAGCCUCUCUGCCUGCCUCACAGAGCAGUCUGUGGUGUUCAGAACAUCAGCGCGUCUUCGAGCGCCGCCUACGGCAGUGAGAUGAAGGUGUUGUCAUAGAAAUGGAAGGAGCUGGCCAGAGCAGACUCAUCUCAGAAAAACAGAUCCCUGUAUUCUGCAGUCUGAAUUAACCCCUUCCAGUCCCUAACCUUUUCAGGGAAAAUGUAGCCUGUUGUCUCUCCUGCCUGCCCUGCUGCUGUACCACUGUCCAUCCUGCCACCAGAAACAGUGCCAACACCCGCCUGCCAUCACCUGCCUGUCCUCUGCAUUUAGACUCGAAUCUUAAAAUUUGAAUUGUGUAUCAGGAUUUUCUCAUCUUGCUCAUUUGACUUCCUCUGCUGGCCCCUGGAGGAUGGACUCCCCCCUUGAGUCUGGUCCCUCCCAAGGUUUCUUCCUUCUAGAGAGUUUUUCCUUGCCAGUGUCGCCUAUGGC